AGAGAGGAGAACUGAAGUCCCGUUAUUCGCAAUGACGAGGUCAGGGGUUCGAUUCCCCUCGGCUCCACCA
This 70-nucleotide transfer RNA is filed under the name Tropicimonas sp. IMCC6043. Its description in RNAcentral is "tRNA-Ala". The record is from RNAcentral. Lineage: Bacteria; Pseudomonadati; Pseudomonadota; Alphaproteobacteria; Rhodobacterales; Roseobacteraceae.